GCCGGGCAUGGUGGCACAUGCCUGUAAUCCCAGCUACUCUGGAGGCUGAGGCAGGAGAAUCACUUGAACCCAGGAGGCAGAGGUUGCAGUGAGCCAAGACCGUGCCACUGCACUCCAGCCUGGGCAACAGAGUGAGACUCUGUCUCAA
Molecule: non-coding RNA, 148 nt
Filed under: Gorilla gorilla gorilla (western lowland gorilla)
Lineage: Eukaryota; Metazoa; Chordata; Mammalia; Primates; Hominidae
Source: Rfam by way of RNAcentral